Molecule: ribosomal RNA, 465 nt
Filed under: uncultured bacterium
Lineage: Bacteria
Description: partial 16S ribosomal RNA
Rfam family: Bacterial small subunit ribosomal RNA
Source: RNAcentral
CUACGGGUGGCUCCAGUGGGGAAUAUUGGACAAUGGGGGAAACCCUGAUCCAGCAAUGCCGCGUGUGUGAAGAAGGCCUGCGGGUUGUAAAGCACUUUCGGUUGGGAGGACUGCUUCUAGCACUAAUAUUGUUGGAAGUUGACGUUACCUUCAGAAGAAGCACCGGCUAACUCCGUGCCAGCAGCCGCGGUAAUGCGGAGGGUGCAAGCGUUAAUCGGAAUUACUGGGCGUAAAGCGCGCGGAGGCGGCUAGAUCAGUCGGGUGUGAAAGCCCCGGGCUUAACCUGGGAACUGCAUCCGAUACUGUCUAGCUUGAGUACAGGAGAGGAGAGUGGAAUUCCACAUGUAGCGGUGAAAUGCGUAGAUAUGUGGAGGAGCACCAAUGGCGAAGGCAGCUCUCUGGCCUGAUACUGACGCUGAGGUGCGAAAGCGUGGGGAGCAAACAGGAUUAGAUACCCCCGUAGUC